Molecule: transfer RNA, 72 nt
Filed under: Camelus bactrianus (Bactrian camel)
Lineage: Eukaryota; Metazoa; Chordata; Mammalia; Artiodactyla; Camelidae
Also listed under: 2 other names
Rfam family: tRNA
About the family: Transfer RNA (tRNA) molecules are approximately 80 nucleotides in length.
Source: Rfam by way of RNAcentral
GAGGGUACAGCUCAGUGGUAGAGUGUGUGCUUAGCAUGCACGAGGUCCUGGGUUCCAUCCCCAGUACCUCCA